AUACUUACUGGCAGGAGAGACCAUGAUCACAAAAGUGGUUUUCCUAGGGUAAGACUCAUCCAUUACACCCAAUGUGUGCUGACUACUGAUUUCCUCAAAUGUGGAAAACUCAGCUGCAUCAUUUGUGAUAGUUGGGGACUGCAUUCGCCCUUCUCCCCU
Molecule: small nuclear RNA, 159 nt
Organism: Nannospalax galili (Upper Galilee mountains blind mole rat)
Lineage: Eukaryota; Metazoa; Chordata; Mammalia; Rodentia; Spalacidae
Gene: U1
Rfam family: U1 spliceosomal RNA
About the family: U1 is a small nuclear RNA (snRNA) component of the spliceosome (involved in pre-mRNA splicing). Its 5' end forms complementary base pairs with the 5' splice junction, thus defining the 5' donor site of an intron. There are significant differences in sequence and secondary structure between metazoan and yeast U1 snRNAs, the latter being much longer (568 nucleotides as compared to 164 nucleotides in human).
Source: Ensembl